RNAcentral lists this non-coding RNA (21 nucleotides) under Arabidopsis thaliana (thale cress). The record is from RNAcentral. Lineage: Eukaryota; Viridiplantae; Streptophyta; Magnoliopsida; Brassicales; Brassicaceae.
UGAUGACCUUUUCAGAGAUGC